GUCUGUGUUCUCCUGGAACUGGACAAGAAAGGUCAGUUUCUUGGAGGGCAAAGAGUGAUCGAUGCCAGUUUAGUCUGGAAGGGUAAGAGGCUGAAAUCUCUAUGGUUAGCAACUUGGAAACCUGAUCUGGAGUGAAAGGCUGGAAAUAAGAAGGUCUCUAACCAUGAGAGGAGGGAGGUUUUGGAACAGCCUCCUAACAGGACUAGAAGGGGCAAGAAACCUACCUGGUUUUAAGAUGGAGCUGGAUAAAUUUAUGAAUGGCUUUAUAUGAUGUGGAUGCCUUCAACAGCAGGGGACUGCACUCUGACUCAGGAGUCCUUGCCAGUCCCAUGUUCUUAUGAAUGGAAAAUGCCUAGCAGUAAACCUCAGAGUUGAAGGCUUAUUUGGGCCCCAGGAGUUUGGAUGAAUCUCUGCAUACUGCAGCAUCAGGAUGGAGGUUUCAGAAGGACAGCCUUUCUCAGGGCAUCUUGAAAUGUCCGUGGAAGCAUAAAAGUGAAUAAGCCACAGGAUUGACUACAUGGUGUGGCCUAGUGGAUAGAGCUCAACUGAGACUCAGGAGACCUGCAUUCUAAGCCUAGCUCUGACUUUAGGAAAGUCACUUCACCUCACUGUGCCUCAGUUUCCUCAUCUUUAAAAUCAGGAAACAUCUGUCCAAGUGGGAGCCUGCCUUUGCUUAAGAGCCCCUCUGAGAAAUUCUACUCCUAAAUUAUUGGGAGCUCCCAGCAGAUCCAGGUUGAUUUGUGUGUGUGCGCACACUCCCUGGCAAGGUGAAGCUCAGCCAUGUGUUUCUGUUUAGAGGAAGUUGGCCUGACAGUUCCAGCCCUCCUCCUCGGUGGGAAACGCUGGGUUCCAAAGCCCUGGAAACGUGUGAAGGCUGCAAUUUGACUCCCUUGGCUUCCACUUCCCGGCAGAAAAAGAACCACUGGUGCCAAAAUUCAAUCCUCCCGGGGAGGCUGGAAAUAUUUAGGACACCGUCCAAGGAUCAAUAAAAUAAAGAACAGGCCAGGAUUGUUGGGCUCCUUCAAACAAUAAAUUCCCAGCCCUGGGGAUGCAGCGGCGGUGAGGAAGGCCAGUCCAGAAGGCCGAAGUCGCCAUGAUUCUUGGGGCAUCACGGUCGUGCUGGAGAAUUCAGGCCCCGAUUCCUUAGAAAGCCUGUUGCUGUAGAAGGGGAGAGACAUGAUGUUGAGUUAAUGCUGGACACACCCUGGGAACGAGGCGGAGAAACGGGCUUUUCCCAAAACCUUUGAGGAUAUGGAGCCUGAACGGGUCUGGAGAUUAUAAUCCAGAAUUUGCAUUAUUUGCCACUGUCCUUCCUCCAGCUAGGAGAUCUGCGCCCAGGGAGAAAUUGACAGGAGUUGGAGCUUCUCUAAGGAAUGGCUGUCCCAGAGGCAAUGGAGGGAACCAACACGAGAAAGAAGGCUCCUGGAAUAUGCUGCACGGCUGCCAAACAUCAACAUGUGUGACCAUAAAACGCAGCCCCAGGAAGCGGAAUGCGAUAAUCUCGAACCUGAAAUUGUGAGCCAGGGGAGGUGAGAGCAGGACCGAAUCAACAAAGGGUGGAUGUUAAAGGAAGGCCAAAUAGGACCACUGAGCAACCUGGGACUUACAAGGGAUGGUGUAUGGAGAGCACAGUGAUGCUUCAGCAGAGGAAGGAGAUUGGAGAAAUCUCUCUCUUUCUCUGGUCGAAGAAUCUGUCUCCCUCGGCUGACGUUUUGAGCGACUUGUUGGUUGAGCCCAGCUGCAGAAGAGCUUGUGAUGAGCCAUCUCCGCUCUCCCCGGCCCAAAAGAUGCUGUCGUAGUGACUUGGUGCCUCCAGAGACCAAGAGGUUCACAGGAGAACUUAACCUUACAUGAAAAGCAUCAACGCAUGUGAACAAAUAUGCAGGGCUGCUAAACUGCAGAGUGAACUAACAGCUCCCUGGAGAUCCAUGUGAGCUGAACCCUAAAGGGCAGCUGGCCAGGGAUUUAUCCCCACAACUACUUAAAAAUCAAACAUUUCUAUUUUUGGGGAGGAGGGGGGAAGCCCUUCUGGGUGAAGUUUAAUGCAGAUGAAUGUGAGACGGCUGGUGGGACUCAUACCAGGCGGAGAUUAGAAAGGGUCCAUGUCACGGUUUUGCUUUCUUCUGUUCCUCUCCUGCCAUGCAGCUCAGAUGAUACACCUCAUUGCUGCCUGGCAGCAUCCUAGGCUGUUGUUUCAAUCCUUCGCCCUUCGGCAACCUGGUUAAUGCCCCUCUGUUCUGACCUGCAGCAGCCGCGUUCUGUCUCAGGCUGGGCAGAAGAGUGCAGCGAUGCCGUCAAAGUGGCAGGAAAGGGGGGUUGAGCUUUGGCAUUCCUGCUUGGACUCGAAUGAGAAGCAGCAGGUGUGGAGAGAAGGGAGAGGCAGUGAGUGAUAAAUUCAAGAGAGGAUCAAAGACCCGGACAAGAGAUUUUAGUUGCAGAGGGGAAAGAGUUGGAUUUUAGAGACACGAAAGAAGUGACAGGACUUCACGAGGGACAGACUAUGCGGGGAGAAGGCGAGAGCUGGAAGUCGGCCGUGGAGUUGUCAGUGGUGACAGAGAAGGGCAGCUUGGGAUGAGGAGAAGAGUUUUCAGGUUUGAAGCGAGGGUGGCAGCAUGUCUGGUGUGCCAAGCUGGUGAGAAAGUGGCAGGUGGGUAAUGGAGAGGUUGAUGCUGUAGAUAACACUCUGGGAACAAGAUCUAAAUGGAAAGAGCUGUAGGUAGAGUUGGCAGGGACUGGAGGUGCAAAGGUCUAUCAGGAGAAGCGUGAAUGGAGGGAAGGGAUUGACCUUAAAGUGAAGGAUCUCAGCAGAGUUCGAGCAAGAGUAGAGGGAGCGAAUGCUGUGGGUUAGAGGCACAGAGGAAGCAAGAGGCUAGACUGUACAUCAACAGGAGAAACUGAUUCAGUGUCACUUUCCACACGAUUUCAGCUAGGGACUCGUCUCCAGCUUUCCUGACCCUGCACCCCCGCUAUUCCUCUCUCCCCACCCUUCCAACCAGCCUCCUUUCUGACCUGCAGUGACCCUGGUCAAGGCAGGUCGAAACAUUUUCCAUCGACCCUUUUAACUUUUUUUAACGGGAAAUUGGAUUUUCGACUGAACGGGAAAUGGUUGCAGAAAGUGCCUGCUUUAAUUGAGAGAAAUCCAAAUGCUUUUUGUUGGGAAACUGAAAAUUAGCAUCUGAAGGGCACUGAAAUGAAAGUGCUUUUCACUGCCAAAAAUGGAGAGGGGGAAAAAAAAGAUUAGUUUCUGUGUUCAAUGUGUCUUAUCUGUGGGAAGCUUCCUUCACAAGGGUAGAUCAGCCUGGUGUGGGCUUCAAACUUGAACCACCCAAGCCCCGGCUGGCUUUGCUUUUACCCCAAACUUGGGCUGGAAAGACCUAGCACUGCUCUUUGGCCUGAAGCCCCUAACCAACCUCUGAGGAGAUGAUCAGCUGGUGCAACCGCCAGGGGGACGCUUGAAGCUGGAUCUUGGUGCGGGGGUCGGGGGGAAGCAGAUAGUGACAAACGUUCAGUGAAUCCCAACAGCCCCAGGGCAGAGGCAGCGGGUCUAGAGUAGGGAGGAUGUGCGAUCAUUGCCUUACCUGGUUCUUCAAACCUCCAGGGAAAGGGCGGCCAAACAGCCUGAGACUUAACAGACCCCGCUUCUAUCAAUUUCUCUCUCACAAGUUUCCUUGGGCAAGUCGCUUAGUCACCCAGUGUCUCAAUUCUUAUCCCUCUGCCUGUCCAGAUCCACCCCAGGACAGAGGCUUUUUAUGGCCUGUGUUUGUACAGUGCAAGCACAAUGUCUGGUUCGUGUCUGGGGCCCAUAGGUGUGGCUAUGAUACAAAUAAAUAACAAUCAGAGUGGUGAUGCUGCGUUUGCAUUUGCGCCCCAUUCUCCGCUAUCACCUGCAGUCGCUGUGGGGAGCUGAGAGAUCCACACUCUUGGCAGACCGAUUGCAUCCCUUGGCUUCUGGCACUGGAGAAAGCCAGGUGUCGCCCCAGUUUAAUUUGUUUUAAAUUAAUUUGCAGAGGGGGGAGCUGGAGGAGGCUGAAAGGUGAAAAGGGCUUUUCCUGGAGCCUUGCCAACUGGGAAAUAUCCUUUGCAACUUCUUUGUGAAAGCUCUGGUGGCUUCCCAGGGAGGGAGACCUAAAUUCUAUUCAAUUAGGGGUAAUAAAGGCCCAUGUUUUCCUGCCUCCUAAUCCCCAGCAAGGUUGGGAAUUUACAUGGGCAAUCAGUUAAUCCAUCUACCACUCUCAUCGCCAGCCCCUCUGACGCAUGGUUUUGCUUUCUCAAGCCAGCACACAGGAGCAGAAAGCUUCAGGUUAGAAGGACCGGGCAGGCUUUACGGUGAGGCUUGCCCACCAAAGUAGCCUGAGUUGGAUAUUCUGCAAUGCGAUUGUUCAGUCCCUGAUCAUACAUCUGGGGCCUUUCUUCCAGGGAGACCUCUUUCCAGGGUGAAAAGAAGCACCAUUCAUCAAUUCCAAGGCCAGCAGGGACCCCGUGAUCAUCCAGUCUAAUCUCCUGCAUAACACAGGCCAGAGAACUUCAUCAGAAUAAUCCCUAUUUGAAUUAGUGCAGAUCUUUCCAAAAACUGUCCAAUCUUGAUUUAAAAACUGCGAGUGGUGGAGAAUCUACCACAGCCCUUGGUAAAAUUGUUCUAGUGGUUAAUUACUCACCCUCACAGUUAAAAAUGUACACAUUGUUUCUAGUCUGAGUUUGUCUAGCUUCAACUUCUAGCUUUUGGAUCCUGUUAGAUCUUUGCCUGCUUGACUGAACUAUUUGUAGGUUAUGAACUGGAAUCAAGUCACUCCUUAAUCUUCUCUUUCCCCCCCCCGCCCCCCUCCCCCAGCUAAAUAGAGUGAGUUCCUUGAGCCUUUCACUACUAAGGCACCAUCAUAGGCAGAAAGCAUCAGCUGGGAAAGGUCGGCCCAAUCUUGGGUGGACUGAAUCCAGGGUUAGAAGUGAAUGGUUCUUGGGUUUGAAUCCUGGCUCUGCCACAACUUCCUGUGUUCUCCGAGUCAUGUUGCUGCUCGGUGCCUCAGUUUCCCUAUCUGGAAAAGGGUGAUAAUGCUGCUUCCCUACCUUAUCUGUUAAUGUUUGUGCACCGCUUGGGAAAUAUAGCAUGUCCCACAAAUGCUAAAGAUUAUUUUGUAACAGAUCCAUGACCAUCUAGAACAUCACAGCAGUCACUAUGCUGUAUGGUGUGAACAUCCUGACAGCAAGGUAGAUAGUUCCCAUAUUCUCCUGCUCUAUGAAGCACAAGCUCCCUCUACAACUGAACUUAAAAGUGACUCUCCAUUAGCUAUGAGCUGUAUAGGGCCUAUGACACACCGUUGAGCAAUUCUCAUUCUGAUCAGUAGAAGACAGCAGUGACACAUGCUAGCCAAUUAGUUACAACGCAGAUGCCAAAGGGUGUUGACUGUUGUUGAAUUUCACACACACACACGCCACGCUAUGUGAGUGAGGCAUGAGAUGGGACUGACACGGGAGACAAGUAGGGUCGGGAAGAAGGAUGAUGCCAGACCUUGCCUCUAUGCAGGCACUAGAGAAAGCCGUCCAUGUGCUCCAAAAGUCAGAGGGCUGGCGAGACAAACACAGCUGCAGAUAAAGGGAAGGGAAUGGUAUCAACAAAGCAGGGCAUUGACUUAGUCUCUGUUGCAAGGAAGUUGGUGUAAGCACCUCAGAGUUGAAAUAGGCCUGUGAUCUUGGAAAGGUCUCCCUCCCGACUAGUUCUCUAGUUCAUCGGUAUCUUCUAGGAUAAGACUGUGUUGUGGUCCAAAAGGCCUGUCAAGAGAGGCGGCUCUCAGCCAGACCAUGGUCUGAGAAGAACCAGGGCGCUGUUUGUCUUUGGGAGACUCCUCCCUUGCGGUGAUAGCAGUGGGGAAUUGUUGGUACGGGUCUCUGCGGUGCAGCCACAGCCCCCCAGCCGGGGACUGCACGGGUUUCAUGGAGUGGGCUGUGAAGGGAGGCGAGAAACACCCAGAGUCUCAGUGCAGGGAUCCCCCCGCGCUCACGCAUGAAACAAGCGCUGCUGUAUUUCAAAGGAGCUGUGGGUGGAAGCUUUGCAGGGGUGAACUAGGCUUUGCUGGGCCCCGGAGAAGGAGUGAGAAUGAGAUGGGGAAAAGGGAUUUCUCAGCUGCAGGGGCAUUCCCGGGGGGAGAUGACUUCUUGUUUGACAAGCACAGACCAGCGUGCCAGGAACUGAGGGAAAGUCGUUUGAUAAUGUGAGCUGAGGGCCGGGCGGAGAAUGUCACUGGCCUGAUUGGUGAAGCAUUGAGGCUUCCCAGCUGCUUCAUCCCAUGGGCCGUAAACAAGGGAGUCUCUGGGAUCCAUCCACAGCUGCUUUGAUACUGGACUGUAACCUCAGGGCUGGGGUCCAGUAAUUCCCAUCUGCUUUAGCCCAUGGACAGUAGAAGGAAAAGGAUGCUUUCAGUCCCUAGUAUCAGACAGAUCUGGGUUCAACAGAGCCCUGGGGCGGACAACAGGGGCCCUGGAUUGAGCCAGUGCCUGGCUCCUAUGCGCAGAAUUCCCCCGACUCACCACCCUCUGCAGCAUCCCCCCCCCCCCCCCCUGUCAUUGACACGAAGCGUCGCAUGACUGUCCCUGCUGGUUCCCAGCCCGGGGGCAGAGAUCGCCAUCUGUUCCUUCCUCACCACGGCUCUCUCUUCAUUAGGGACUUUGCCACGAUCACCUCUCUGCUGCGGUUAUCGUCUCACUAACCCCAGUCUGGCGCUCAUUUCUCCAUCUCCUUCACCACCCCAUCCAGCUUGCUACCACCCCCACUGUUGUCAUCCUUGCAGCCGUGUGCUGACACAUCACAAAGCAGCCUCUUGGUUCGCCUUAAACAAAGGAGUGAUUUCCAGGGAAGGGGGAGAGAGCUAGCCAGCCUGGAUGCUGCUCUGCCACUCCCCUUCUCAGCAUUGCUUUGUCUCUAGAGGAGUUAAUGAAAGCCAGGUGCAGGCUAGAACAUGAAUUGCAACAGUGCACAUGUGUCUGUUUCCAGGCAUCAGGUGUUCUAGUUAAUUCAUAGGCCACAGAAUUGUAUAAUUAACUCUUCAGCGGCUGAAUAAAAAAUAUAGUGCAAAAGUCGUCCCGCUCUAUCGCAUGUCUAAUUACCACCCUUACCAUUUGCCCUGUGCGGUGUGCAAUCAUUCACACCCGUGCAAAAUAGCUGCAACGUGCUCGCAGUCCAACCUGGUGGCAUUCUGUGCUGGGGCAAAGACUAUACAAGCUGGAGUGUGGUGAAUCGAGACUCAUGGCCUCUUUCCUUUCCCAUUAUUGUCCCUCGCCCACUGUUGCCAUCAGCAUCAAUGUGUCUGUCGCUCUUGCUGUCCUCACUGAUGCAUGGCGCGAAUGCUGCCCGGUGGGGUUGCUGUGUCUGUGGGGCCCACCUUUAAUGGGCUACUCAGCGCAUCAGCUCUCUCCUCUUUGAAAGAGGCCCAGGCUUCCAGAGGAGGUCAGCACAGAGUAAUUAUGGGGAGGAUGGGGUUUCAGAGGAGGCUGUGAUUUAAGAACGACUCUGAUCCAUUAUUAUCUCAAGCCAUGAUAAUAAACUCAAGACGGGCACUUUGUCCCCCUAGAAACCUCUCGGUGAAAGGCAGGAUGGGCAAAUGGGAGGCAUGAGAUGAAAUGAGGAGGUCCCCCGGGAGCCAGGGCUGCAGCGCUCUUCCUGGAGCUGAUCUUUCAUAAUUGGGUUUCUAGAUGCCGCCCGCUCAGCGCACUCCUCCUCCAGACUCCUUGGGCCUAAUUUCAUAACGUGGCCGCUGAUGGUGGGAACAGAAGACAGAGUAACAUCAUUCCCAGUAACACUAUCGCCUCCCAUUUGAUCUGUGAGAGAGGCACAUAACAAUCAGAAUUAGGAAGUCGGAGAUAAAGUUACCCUGAUUUGGUCCAUGGAUGGAAAAGAUUUACCUCUGAAAGCAGGAAAUUUCAUACGCUUAAAAGUAUAUAUAAUGUGUAAACAGUGUUCAAGCUUUUAAAUGCCUUCUGGCCCCUACUGAUUCACAAGCAAACGGGUCCAGGCAGAGGGCCAGGGAGGGAUUCCUCAGAUUGGAUCGAUUUUGAUGUCGCUUUUCAAGUCCCAUUUUUGAUUUCUCUGUGUGUGUGGCUGUGUAAAAGGCUUGCUGAGAAACUCAAAACCCUGUGAAACUUGCCAAGGUUUGGAGAUUAUGGUGAGCACUAAACUCAGAGCAGAUUUGCACAGACGGUUCAGUAAAGUUCAGCGGCCUUUGGAGCAGAGUUAGACUCAAAACGGGGGCUGAGUUGUUGCAAAUCAGCUUAUUUUAUGUAGUUUGGGGAAGGGUUGGUCAAAGAGCGGAAUGACAAACCUGAUCUCUGAAAACGUUCCCAAGAAAGGAGCUGAUUUUGCCAAGGGGUGUGUGUGUGGGCGGGGUCACAUUCUGGGUGUCUGUCCAGCCACCCCCUGGGUUUUUGUUAAUAGUGAGUGUUGCACAGAUGUUUGGUUGAUAGAGAAUUCAUGUAAGAGGUUGGUCAUUUGUCAUUCUCCUCUUUAAAAAAAUAGUAAGUUUGUCAACCAAUCGGGGAGCAAAUAAAAACCAAAUAAAAUAAAAUAAAAUUCAACCACGUGUUAUAAACGAAGGAUAAAGCUCUACACUGUUUGGGUCCUGUAUAUGACCCUGGUAUCUGAGCCCUUCACAAUCUUUAAUGGGUUUAUCCUCACAAUCCCCCUGUGAGGUAGGGCAAUUAUCCCAUUGUAAUGAGGGGAAACUGAGGCAUAGGGAGACUGGGUAACAUGCCCAAGGUCAUGCAAGAAGCCUGUGGUAGUGUAAGGACUUGAACUCUCAACUUUCAAGCCCAAGUGUCUGAGAUGGGUCAGAACCCAGGUCUCCACAGUCCUAGUUGAGUGUGCUGUCCACUAGGCCACAUUGUCUCCACCUCAGUAUCAUUCCACCCCACCAUGAUUAUUCUUUAUUACUUGUAAUGCAGUAGUUCCUAGGAGUCCCAGUCAUGGCCCAGAACAAAAAGACGGGCCCUGCCCCAAAGAACCUGUUCAGAGAGCACAAUUCUUCACUAAUUUUUCACUACAAUCAGUUGGCUUUUUUGAGCCCUUAUUACAAUAUGCUCCCAUUUAGCCGAAACCCUAUUGUGCAAACCCCAUCUUAUCUGAAUCCCUUCCUAGUCCCCCAGCACAAGCUAUAGGGGGAUUGAUGCCUUCUACAGCACGUAUCUCAUGCAAGGGGACAUGGGAGGGAUAUCACAGAGGUUUUGGAUAAGAGAGCAGAAACCACCAGCCAGGACUGCGUGGAGAAGGGGGACCACAACAAGCCCAUGGCUGCGGAGCAGGUCACUGCAGCCCCCUACUCUCAUCACUGGAGUGAAUGAGU
Molecule: long non-coding RNA, 9323 nt
Organism: Caretta caretta (loggerhead turtle)
Lineage: Eukaryota; Metazoa; Chordata; Testudines; Cheloniidae
Source: RefSeq, a predicted model, not a curated record